Long non-coding RNA from Manis pentadactyla (Chinese pangolin), 1575 nucleotides. RefSeq lists it as uncharacterized. The record is from RefSeq and is a predicted model, not a curated record. Lineage: Eukaryota; Metazoa; Chordata; Mammalia; Pholidota; Manidae. The transcript has 6 exons.
CUAUAGUGAGAGAAAUGUUAAUUUAUUGAUAAAAAGGUUUAAGUUACAGAAAAAAUAGUAAUAAAAAUUGUAAUUUCUCCUUGACUAAGAUUGUUCUGUAUGGUUUCAGCUUGCACCAUCAUUUUUAUAUUCUCACAAUACCAUGCAAAGAGAGAACUGCCUGCAUCUACAAGACUCCAUCUCACACACACACUAGAGACACUCUUAACUGGUCUAUGAAGAAUGAAGUUGCCAUGUUAUGACCUGCCAACGGAGAGAGCCAGGGAGAGAACUGCUGGCCUCAGCCCUCUGGCUGUAAGGAGCUGAACUGAACAACUUCAUCAGCAUGGCAAAGAAUCCCAAUCUCCAGAUGAGGCCACAGUCCUCACUGGCACCUUCAUUCCAGCCUGUAUACUCUGAAUAAAGCAUCCAGUUAAGCUAUGGCUGGACUCUUCACCUUUGGAAACUGCAGAGCAAUUCCAGGACCACUGAACAAAAAUAAGACUUGAAGAACUAUAGUGGAUUUCAUGGCCUCUUAUUCAAUUUUAAAACUUAAAUUAUCUGAUGGACCCACAAUGACUUGAUUGGCAAGGAGACCACCCCACCUUUGAGGAAAGUCCCUGAGAAAGGGCCUCAGCUCUUCACUGUGAAUCUUGCUCGCAGUCUUCUCCAGAGGCUAUUAUCCCUUAAUAAUGUGACAGAGAAAAAUCAAAUAAGCAGACCUUCCGUGAUUGCUAAAUACCUCAGGUCUGAAAGGAGCCAUGUAAUCCAUUGGUCAGUGAGGGACUAAUGGAGAGCAGGUUGGAGCGUAGGAUGUCCACACAGCAACAACACAGGCAUUUUAAGGUCAUAGAUUAAACACGGGGAAAGAGCUGAAUUAAAUUUUCAUGGACUUAUUGCUUGAGAAACUUCUUAAGAAUUCUCUCUGCUGAUUCGGUUGCAUCAAAGUUAUUUGCCUCGCUCUGCGUCCAAAGGGGUCCAGCGCUGGCUGCUCGUCCUGAUGAUGAAAUUACUGUCAGUCCGCUGAAUAGUCUGCACGGAGCAUGCCACCGUCACGGCAGGAUUGUUUCUGUAUUGAAAAAGCAGAAACCAGCUUCUUGGCACUCCGUCAGAGGAGACGUGAUUUCCUAAUGGAAGUGGAAUGCUCAAUCUGAAGAGUUUGGGGAACUUUCCCCUCUGCCAUGAAAUCUGCAGUGCUAUGCACAACAGUGCUGGAGCACUUCGCGGAUAAAAUGCAACAGGUUUAUUGAUCAUCGUUCUGAUGUUCGGGAAUUUAGGAGGGCUCCUCCAGGGUGACUCACUUCUGCUGUGUCGUGUCACCAGAACUCUCUCAUUCAGGUGGUAGUUAGGCUGGAAGAUCAAGGAUGGCCUCACAUGCAUGUAGAAGGCCUUAGUGCUAAGCUGUUGGCUGGGCCUCCUCUCUCUGCAUGUCCUCUUUUUUCCAGAAGGACAGCCUGGACUUCUUUACCAGGAACCUCAUUAGUAAAAUAAAGAAAGCAGCGGCUGCAUGUCUCAUAAAGCCACGGUCUAGUACAGCUUCUACAAUAUUCUAUUGGACAAAUCAAGUCCAAAGCCAACCCAGAGUCAAGGGGAGAA